CAGUCGCCGCGGUAAAACGGAGGGUGCAAGCGUUGUCCGGAUUUAUUGGGUUUAAAGGGUGCGUAGGCGGCUAUUUAAGUCAGCGGUGAAAGACUCCGGCUCAACCGGAGCAGUGCCAUUGAUACUGGAUAGCUUGAGUGUUGGAGGGGUACAUGGAAUUGAUGGUGUAGCGGUGAAAUGCAUAGAUACCAUCAGGAACACCGAUAGCGAAGGCAUUGUACUGGCCAACAACUGACGCUGAGGCACGAAAGCAUGGGGAGCGAACAGGAUUAGAUACCCCCGUAGUCCCUGUCUCUUAUAC
RNAcentral lists this ribosomal RNA (301 nucleotides) under uncultured bacterium. RNAcentral describes it as "partial 16S ribosomal RNA". It matches the Rfam family "Bacterial small subunit ribosomal RNA", at positions 509 to 807 of the family's 1533-position model. The record is from RNAcentral.